RNAcentral lists this long non-coding RNA (3043 nucleotides) under Salmo salar (Atlantic salmon). RNAcentral's name for it is "lncRNA (ENSSSAG00000100644.1)". The record is from RNAcentral. Lineage: Eukaryota; Metazoa; Chordata; Actinopteri; Salmoniformes; Salmonidae.
UCCAGACGUGCAAAUGCUGCCCCCUAGCCCUAACAGGUUAACAUCAGUACAUAGCAUCUCAAUGUAUUACAAAUAGCUUUAUCCUUAUUAAUACAUUUUAUACAACCAUUAUGAUGCAAGUCUCAAACUGAGGCUAUUAUAUAAACAGUUUUAUGGUAAUAUGGCUAUAUUGUCUCUUCUGAGUAUCACAAAAUUGUACCAAGCGGACCAGUUCGUAGCUGGAUUCUUCACCAAUCUUCCAUACCUUCUCCAGAACACACAUGUCGCUCGGUUCUCCAAUUCUAUGAGUUGGAAGAAUUUCCUUUGUCUCUCUAUGAAACAUGUGGUCGGAGAUUCUCCUCUUAGAGUUUUUACAACCCUUUCACACAGGGCCUGGUUUGGGGGGAAGAUAGGUUGGGGGAUGGUACAAAGGGGAGGGGGUCAACUGUCCUUCCUGUACCCAAAGAGGCCAACGUCAUGACACUGGUGUGUUUACGGACAUAUGCAAUCUCUCCUUAUCCCGGUCUAUUGUCCCCACUUGAUCAAGAUGUCCACCAUUGUUCCUGUACCCAAGAAAGCAAAGGUAACUGAACUAAAUUAUUAUUGCCCCAUAGCACUCACUUCUGUCAUCAUGAAGUACAUUGAGAGAGUAGUCAAGGAUCAUAUCAACUCUACCUUUCCUGACACCCUAGACCCACUUCAAUUUGCAUACCGCCCCAAUAGAUCCACUGACAAUAGAAUUGCCAUCGCACCGCACACUGCCCUAUCCCAUCUGGACAAGAUGAAUACUUAUGUAAGAUUGCUGUUCACUGACUACAACUCAACCUUCAACACCAUAGUACCCUCCAAGCUCAUCAUUAAGCUUGGGGUCCUGGGUCUGAACACUGCCCUGUGCAACUGGGUCCUGGACUUCCUGACGGGCCGCCCCCAGGUGAUGAAGGUAGGAAACAACACCUCCACUUUGCUGAUCCUCAACACUGGGGCCCCACAAGGGUGUGCUUAGCCCCCUUCUGUACUCCCUGACCCAACUGUAGUAAACUUGAUUACCAACAAUGACGAGACAGCCUACAUGGAGGAGGUGAGGGCCCUGGCGGAGUGGUGCCAGGAAAAUAACCUCUCUCUCAACGUCAACAAAAUGAAGGAGCUGAUUGUGGACUUCAGGAAACAGAAAAGGCAGCACGCCCCUAUCCACAUCAACGGAACCGCAGUGUAGAAGGAUAAAAGCUUUAUAAUCCUCGGGGUACAUAUCACUGACAAUCUGAAAUGGUCCACCCACACAGACAGUGUGGUGAAGAAGUCAACAAUUUGGCUUGGCCCGUAAGACCCUCACAAAUUUUUACAUAUGAACAAUUGAGAGCAUCCUGUCGGACUGUAUCAUGGCCUGGUAUGGCAACUGCACCGCCCUCAACCGCAGGGCUCUCCAGAGGAUGGUGCGGUCUGCCCAACGCACACUACCGGCCCUCCAGGACACCUAGUGCACCUGAUGUCACAGGAAGGCCAAAUAUAUCUUCAAGGACAACAACCACACGAGCCACGGCCUGUUCACCCCGCUAUCAUCCAGAAGGUGAAGUCAGUACAGGUGCAUCAAAGCUGGGACCGAGAGACUGAAAAACAGCUUCUAUGUCAAGGCCAUCAGACUGUUAAAUAGCCAUCACUAGCCGUCUACCACCCAGUUACUCAACCCUGCACCUUAGAGGCUGCUGCCCCAGGAGUUUUAAAUUAUUGCCACAUGAAUUCCACUGUCACUAAUUUCGAUCAAUCAAGAUUGUGUCCACAGUGUUAUACAGUGUUAUGCAGUGUUAUGCAGUGUUAUAUGGUGUUACACAGUGUUUUAUACGGUGUCAUGCGGUGUUAUACAGUGUUAUGCAGUGUUUUACACGGUGUUAUACAGUGUUAUGCGGUGUUAUAUGGCGUUAUACGGUGUUUUACAGUGUUUUAUACAGUGUUAUACAGUGUUAUACAGCGUUAUACGGUGUAUAACAAAAAGGCGGUAUGGUGUUAUACGGUGUUAUACGGUGUUAUACAGUGUGGUAUAUGGUGUUAUACAGUGUUAUACGGUGUUAUACAGUCUUAUAUGUUGUUGUACAGUGAUAUACGGUGUUGUACGGUGUCAUAUGGUGUUAUACAGUGUGGUAUAUGGUGUUAUACAGUGUUAUACGGUGUUAUACAGUGUGGUAUAUGGUGUUAUACAGUGUUAUACGGUGUUAUACAGUGUUAUAUGUUGUUGUACAGUGAUAUACGGUGUUAUACGGUGUUAUACGGUGUUAUACAGUGUGGUAUAUGGUGUUAUAAAGUGUUAUACGGUGUUAUACAGUGUGGUAUAUGGUGUUAUACAGUGUUAUACGGUGUUAUACAGUGUUAUAUGUUGUUGUACAGUGAUAUACGGUGUUAUACGGUGUUAUACAGUGUUAUACAGUGUGGUAUAUGGUGUUAUACAGUGUUAUACGGUGUUAUACAGUGUUAUAUGUUGUUGUACAGUGAUAUACGGUGUUAUACGGUGUUAUACGGUGUUAUACAGUGUGGUAUAUGGUGUUAUACAGUGUUAUACGGUGUUAUACAGUGUGGUAUAUGGUGUUAUACAGUGUUAUACGGUGUUAUACAGUGUUAUAUGUUGUUGUACAGUGAUAUACGGUGUUAUACGGUGUUAUACGGUGUUAUACAGUGUGGUAUAUGGUGUUAUACAGUGUUAUACGGUGUUAUACAGUGUUAUAUGUUGUUGUACAGUGAUAUACGGUGUUAUACAGUGUCAUAUGUUGUUGUACAGUGAUAUACAGUGUUGUACGGUGUUAUAUGGUGUUAUGCAGUGUUAUACUGUGUUUACAGUGUUAUGCAGUGGUUAACGGUGUUAUACAGUGUUAUACUGUGUUUUAUACGGUGUUAUACGGUGUUAUACAGUGUUAUGCGGUGUUACGCUCUGUUUUAUACGGUGUUAUACAGUGUUUUAUACGGUGUUUUUCUAUGUUAUACAGUGUUAUACAGUGUUGUUAUAUGUUGUUGUACAGUGAUAUACGGUGUUAUACAGUGUCAUAUGUUGUUGUACAGUGAUAUACAGUGUUGUACGGUG